AGACAACAGCUGACUGAAGACUAGAUGCAGGCACCUGUGACACUACUUGCUCCCUGGUUUCCUGUCACUUCUCAUAAUGGCCCAAACAGAAAUACAGCUGUUGUUUACGGCGAGGGAAGACAGUACUUCAGGAAAGCUCUCCAGCAUCAGCAAUGCUGCUCGCGCUAGUAGCCUCACCCUCGAGUCACAAAGUGCUCUCAGCCUGCGCUCCUGGCUGGUGCCCCCAGAUUCUAGAGUUCAAAAGUCUGAAAUGGGUCUCACUGAGCUAAAAUCAACAUUUCAGAAGAGCUGUGUUCCCGGCUGGAGACCUCAGGACAGAAUCCACUUCCUUGGCUUUUCCAGCCUCUAGAGACAGCCUGCAUUCCUUGGCUUGUGGCUUCCUUCCAUCUUCAAAGCCAACAACAUUUGGUGGAGUCUUUCUUACGAUGUCAUCUCUCUGGUUCCGACUCUACUGCCUUCCUCUUCCCCGUUUGAGAACUCAUAUGAUCACACUGAGCCCACGUGCAUAAUCCAGGAUAAUCUCCCCUUCUUGGAUUCAACUAAUUAGCAACCUUAAUUCUCACUUGUCAAGUAAAACCUAUUUGCAGGUUCUGGGGAUGAUGACAUGGACACUUCUGGGGCACCACUGUCCUGCCUACCACUAUAUCUUGGUAUAGUCAUGUCUGAAUAUGAAAACACUCAAUUUCUUAUUAUUUUAGUAUAAAUACCUUUCCAUUUACUUCUUGUUAUUUCAGUUAGGAUACUAGAGUGUUUUGAUUUUUUUUUUAAAGUCAUGCAUGUGUAGGAAUCUGUGAGUUUCAUUUCAAAAGAGUAAAAGGAGUGUUACAAGGUAGUCAUUAUUCGAUGGGAGUCCUGGGUCUGUUGGGUUGAGGCUUCCUAGGAGGGCAGUUGCUACAGCAAGCAGCUGUAGAGCUGCCCUGCUGUUGCCCAUCCCUGCCUAUGACUAGAUGGCUCAUCUGGUCUCCAGUUCCUCUUUCUCUCCUGUCGUUCUCACUACCCUCUGAUUCACUCACGUCUUGUUCCUCAGAUGCUUCCAUACCUUGAGAUCAAAGGAAAGGGCGCAAUUCAUUUCCUCCCAGACGGCCACCGUCUUGUAUGGUCCCUUCCACUCAGAAAUUCGUGGACUCCAUGUGAUGGUAAGAAUUAGAGGACUGCAGACAAAAAUCCAAAUACAACCCAACGAUGAGCAUGAAAAAGAACACUGUAGUUGAUUCUUGUAGGGAGAAUAUUCCCCUGUGUGUGUUUAAGCUCUGGGGAAGAAGCCUUAUUUUUUCCAGUGAUUAGGGUUUUACUUACUGCUUACACAUAACCAAGCAGUAGCUUCCUUUUCAUUCUCAAAACGGGGAACUGGCAGGACCGUUUCACAAGGUCAA
This is a non-coding RNA of Callithrix jacchus (white-tufted-ear marmoset), 1373 nucleotides long. The record is from RefSeq and is a predicted model, not a curated record. Lineage: Eukaryota; Metazoa; Chordata; Mammalia; Primates; Cebidae.